ACUACAUUUCCCAUGUGCCCUGGCUGUCACAGACUAAUAGCACCAGCUGCUUUCCAUUGCCCUAAGGAGUGAUUCUACUGCUGCAACGAGACCAAAUACAACGAAAGUAUUGAUGCUGCAAAAGAAGACGGAUCUUUUGGUAGGCUGGUUAAUGAUGACCACAAGCACCCAAAUGGCAGAAUGCAGAAGACUGAAGUGGAUGGAAGCCCACAUCUUGGUCUGUUUGCUUUAACAGACUUUAAAGAAGGUGAUGAAAUUACCUACAAUUACGGAGGAGGAGACUGGCCUUGGCGUAGCAAGAUUUUCCAAAUGUCUAUUAAAUAUGCAGAUUAUGGAGGGGGACACUGCUGAGAGCAAUGGCCAGGAGAAACAGCAGCCAUCACAGUCUACACCUUUUCUGGAUCAUAAAUAUCAGAAUUGUGUAGUUUGCUGGCACUUUUAAUCCUGCCUUUCAAUCACACCUCUCCAUAAUUUCCAACAUAAGCAUCCCCUGGGACUCAGUAGGGUCCCUACUGCAUCUUCUCCAAGAAAACCGAGUACUCCUAGUUACUAUUUGGUACAUGUGCACAAACUGCAGUCAGAGUUUUCAUUCUUGAGACGUGAAAUGUAAAACAUCUACUCUGAAUAAGAGGAAGGCUCGGGAAGGAAAUGAGGUCCAUGCAGUGGAGAGACAUAUGAAGACCUUCAUCAUGUCAUGUCGUGUCCCAGGGAAGUUGGUCUGUGAAAACUGCAUUAGAUCUGAGUCUUUAUAUCUUAAAGAUAGAGACUGGCAAAGUGUCAAAUUCUAUGUCUACAACUGCACUGUCGCUUACAAAAGAGAUAUAAACAAAGAUUAAAUAACACUUUGAUAGUAACACUUUACAUCUAUAUUACAGAUACUGUAUAUCAUAACAUCUGUAGUAAUGCUUUAAUAAUAAGUUACAUUACACCUCUAGCCUUUUACUUUGUAAUGAAACACUCAGCAUUUACUUCAUCAUAAACUAAUCAGGAACAAAUCAGGCAUUUAAAAUAUCCAUUAGAAUCUUUACCUACACCGUUAUAUUGAAUUAGAUCAAAUUGGUUUGGGCCGCCUUCUUCCAGUGGGUCCUUAUGCAGGUGACUGACAAGUUCAUGAGUAAGCCUAUUGGGCAAUAAAAGCUUCAGUGUGCUACCCAUUUACAUGUUUAGACUGCCUGGAAUCAAAAUGAGCUACCUCAACAUACAUUAUUAAGUUGUUACUGUCACUUUUUAGCUUAGUCAGUUAAGUGGAUAUAGAAUAAAGAAAAAUAUUGUGUUUAUGACAUUUGGUUGUGUGUCUGUGUUUGGCUAGUAUCUUUAUUUUUCUCAAUAUGUUUAACUUUGAGAUGGCUAUAUGUAGUAAGCAGAAGUGUUAUGUCAAACUUAAAUGAGUCCAAGUUCAUUCAUGGCACAUGUGUGCUUAGUAGUUGUGCACUUUAAUGGGCAAAUAUUUGUUGUCUUUUACAGUAAAGAAGCUCAAGACUCAAGUUGUCUUUAUAAUGUUGAAUAGACAGGGUUUUUUCAUCUGACUGACAAUUUUUCACUUGAUUAGAGAUCCAGACCAAUAAACAAAUCCUUCAUGCAGCUAAAAUAUGAAAAGGAUGAGUUUCUUUGUCAUUUCGACUUGCCAAAAUGACUGGGGAUAGUGUUAAUUUGUGAUGCAUGCCUGUGAUAAAUAAGUGAGGUUCAGUACAGCUAGCACCUCUACUUUCUAUUCCACAAAAAAAAUUGUAUACUUUGGAGCAGGAAAUGAAAUGCUUCUUAGAAUUAUAGCCUCAAAACUAAUAAUAGCACUGGUAACACCUUCCUUAACAGGUUCCUAGGUUUCUCAAAAGGUUCCUCUGUUGGAAAUAGAAAGCUCCAAAGAAAUGUAGUCUGUUAUCUAUUACGUGCAGAUAUUGAAAUUUGUGUAAGAGAGCUUUUUGAAACCAAACUUUCACUGAUUGCAUAUUUCACAAAUAAGGCUAAGAGUCCUUCGUAUAAACAAUUAAGAACAACUGUUCAAUUUAAUUUCAUGAGAAGCUUAAACCUUCAAAUAGAGAAAAUACACAUCAUAUCUGCUUUACAGACAGCCCUCUAAAUUGGACAUACUUAGUUUGUAAUUUUGUAUAAAUAAUUAGAGUUAAAUUGACAACUUUUGUUUUUUAAAACCAUGUCCCCUUGUUGAACUACCUGAUCUGUGUGUAUGCAGAUUAACUAUGUAGUGAUGUCCCCUCUACAACAUGAAAACCAGUUAAUUUUCUGUGUAUGAAAAUUAGCUAUCUAGUGAUGUCCCCACUAUAACAUGAAAACCAGUUAAUUUGCUGUGCAUGCAAAUUAGGUCCCCAUUAAUGAUGAGUUCUUGUUAUGUCCACAUUAGGUGUGAAAAAACCAAGCACAGAAAUGUUGAGAUUUAAAUCCAGAAUUUGAGAUGAUGUGUGUUCUCAGGCUUAAAUUAUACAUGCCUGAUUUUUUUCACAUCUGUAGGACCUCAGGAAAGUGGUGUCCCCACAAUACAUGGGUGGGACUACUGACCCCAGAAUGUUAUAAUUACAAGAAUGUCUGUGUGUGUGUGUGUGUGUGUGUGUGUGUGUUAAAGGUACAGGAGCAGUCUGGCUGUGCAGCUACAGUAAAUGUUAAUAAUAAUAAUAAUAGGACGUUAUUUAAAAGCUCAUACAGCUGAUGUGAUUUUUAUUUAGUAGUUAAUUUAACAUGCUAUGCUAACAUGUAAACAAUAAGAUAAUAUUACCUGACGUCCAUUUUACACUCAAUAUUGUCUGUUUCUGUUCUAUUUCACCAACAAAAAUAUUUCCAAACAAAGCCACAGCAGGUCCUGCUCCUUUUUCCUCCUAAUUCCCUCAUUUCUCCACGUUGGGAUUAAUAAAGUAUUAUUGUAUCUCA
Ictalurus punctatus (channel catfish) is the source of this 2877-nucleotide long non-coding RNA. RefSeq lists it as uncharacterized. The transcript has 4 exons. The record is from RefSeq and is a predicted model, not a curated record. Lineage: Eukaryota; Metazoa; Chordata; Actinopteri; Siluriformes; Ictaluridae.